UCCACCUCUUCCCAUUCCGAACAGAGAAGUUAAGCCUCGUCACGCCGAUGGUACUGCGUAACAGUGGAAGAGUAGGUAGCCGCCGUCU
RNAcentral lists this ribosomal RNA (88 nucleotides) under Parabacteroides distasonis. Lineage: Bacteria; Pseudomonadati; Bacteroidota; Bacteroidia; Bacteroidales; Tannerellaceae. The record is from RNAcentral.